RNAcentral lists this ribosomal RNA (468 nucleotides) under uncultured bacterium. Its description in RNAcentral is "partial 16S ribosomal RNA". It matches the Rfam family "Bacterial small subunit ribosomal RNA", at positions 28 to 507 of the family's 1533-position model. The record is from RNAcentral.
GACGAACGCUGGCGGCGUGCUUAACACAUGCAAGUCGAACGGAAAGGCCCUGCUUUUGUGGGGUGCUCGAGUGGCGAACGGGUGAGUAACACGUGAGUAACCUGCCCUUGACUUUGGGAUAACUUCAGGAAACUGGGGCUAAUACCGGAUAGGAGCUCCUGCUGCAUGGUGGGGGUUGGAAAGUUUCGGCGGUUGGGGAUGGACUCGCGGCUUAUCAGCUUGUUGGUGGGGUAGUGGCUUACCAAGGCUUUGACGGGUAGCCGGCCUGAGAGGGUGACCGGCGACAUGGGGACUGAGAUACGGCCCAGACUCGUACGGGAGGCAGCAGUGGGGAAUAUGGCACAAUGGGCGGAAGCCUGAUGCAGCAACGCCGCGUGCGGGAUGACGGCCUUCGGGGUGUAAACCGCUUUCGCCUGUGACGAAGCGUGAGUGACGGUAAUGGGUAAAGAAGCACCGGCUAACUACGUG